GUCCAAACAUGCCUUUUUCUAUGCAGGCUUUGUCUCCGUUAUCUGUGUUUAUCUUACAUUAGGACUGGAUCACAGCAACAGAAGGUAAUACACAGCCAGGCUAGAAAACUGAUCUCAAAUAAGGACAAUGGAGACACCGACCGUUUCAAGUCAUGGAUAAAAUCCAAGAUGCUGAUUUCAAUUCAAUAUGCCUUUGGGACCUGGUAUGAGCUACCAAAGAGCCUUCACUUGGUAACUCCCCAGCCUGGCUAUCCACAAUCCCAAAAGGACACGGAAACAGAGGAGCACAUACUCUGUUGAGUAUCCCAACCUGCCAGACCAGACUAACCUGCCCAAGCAGCUGAGCUGGUAAGAGGUAAAUGAGAGCAAGAUGGGGAAGAUGGCCCACAGCAGAACUGUAACAGUCAUGCAGGGGCAGAGGUAGAAACAACAGAUAAACCCAGGAUGCACGCAGCUGAUUGCAGCUGUGUCUGCCUGGAGUAUCUCUGCAAAACAGAUGUGCCCUUGCAAAAGUGAGGAUGAGUCCCAGAGGACCUGCCAGUGAAGCCUUGCAGAAACCAAGUCCCAAUGCUUCAGACCAGCCCUAUACUCACAAAUAACUUGUUCACACCUACAGAGGAAACUUCCACAACAAAAACCUUCUGGUCCUUAGCUCAGUGCUAUAAAUCCACAAACUUCCUUUUCUCAGUUACACCAGUGAAAUGUACUUUUUAAACUCUUGUCAUUAUUAUAAAGUACUUUUGUAAAAUGGCAGAUUACAUUUAAUACCUGCAUUUAACAAUACAAUCUGGGUUUGACACAGUGGCAGCACAACGGAAUAAAAUGCUACUCUGAAGAAGGGUAAUUCAGGCUUUAGCUUGUCUCCAAAGGUUCACUGCAGAAAACAUUCCUCAUCACAGCUACUGUAACAGACAGGGUGGAGAACCUAUGUUUUUUUUUCACUAAAGCCAUGAUGUGUAAAGCCUGAUGGUGCUUUAUCAGAGCCUGAGCCCAGCACGAAUUCUGCUUUGAUUAACGUUAACUCAUUUUUUUCACUGCAACACACACACUGAAUGAAGUCUUUGUGUUCAUACUCCAUCUCUACGAUUCUAUCAUUGUGAGAUAAUAUAGCAGUGGGAAUCUUCUGGGAUACCUGAUAAAAUAGUCUUCACCAAUAAAUAGAAAACUCACAGCAUAAAGUCUCAGCUUUAAAAUCUGAUGAGAAGUUUCACUGCAGGAUGGCAUCUCAGACAAAGUAUUACUAUAAAACAUUCUUCUCUAGUUUCCCUUCAGCCUCUACUUGCAUUUAUCCCGACUACUGCAAAAUACGAUCAAAAUUCUCAGCAAACAUCCAUAUAUUCACUUUUCCCUUCUUAGCUCUGCUUCUCCAAAGUGAGAAGCUCUUCUCUCCAGAGUGGAAAGCCAUGAGAGCCACUGGGCUGUGCACGUUUGAGGAGCAACAUGUGAAUGACAGGGAAGUGAAAUUAGCAAUAAGCCAAGCAAAAUGUAGGUUUGGGGCUGGAAAGGAAAUAAACAUGUUCAGAGCUCUGCCUUAAUCUCAAGAGGCCAUUCCUAUUCAGAAACAGAUGGAAGCAUGAGCACAAGCAUGAUUCUGAGCCUAUGUUCUCUCGUUUUACUUCGGACUGGAGUCAGAAUUUCCAAG
This is a long non-coding RNA of Pezoporus occidentalis (night parrot), 1642 nucleotides long. RefSeq lists it as uncharacterized. The record is from RefSeq and is a predicted model, not a curated record. NCBI's taxonomy places the organism in Eukaryota, Metazoa, Chordata, Aves, Psittaciformes, Psittacidae. The transcript is spliced from 4 exons.